CCUACGGGAGGCAGCAGUGAGGAAUAUUGGUCAAUGGACGGGAGUCUGAACCAGCCAAGUAGCGUGAAGGAUGACUGCCCUAUGGGUUGUAAACUUCUUUUAUAUGGGAAUAAAAUGUUCCACGUGUGGGAUUUUGUAUGUACCCUAUGAAUAAGGAUCGGCUAACUCCGUGCCAGCAGCCGCGGUAAUACGGAGGAUCCGAGCGUUAUCCGGAUUUAUUGGGUUUAAAGGGAGCGCAGGUGGAUGGUUAAGUCAGUUGUGAAAGUUUGGGGCUCAACCGUAGAAGUGCAGUUGAAACUGGCAGUCUUGAGUACAGUAGAGGUGUGCGGAAUGCGUGGUGUAGCGGUGAAAUGCUUAGAUAUCACGAAGAACUCCGAUUGCGAAGGCAGCUCACUGGGCUGCAACUGACACUGAGGCUCGAAAGUGUGGGUAUCGAACAGGAUUAGAUACCCCAGUAGUC
RNAcentral lists this ribosomal RNA (460 nucleotides) under uncultured bacterium. RNAcentral's name for it is "partial 16S ribosomal RNA". It matches the Rfam family "Bacterial small subunit ribosomal RNA", at positions 338 to 795 of the family's 1533-position model. The record is from RNAcentral.